Long non-coding RNA from Pan troglodytes (chimpanzee), 1172 nucleotides. RefSeq lists it as uncharacterized. The transcript is spliced from 3 exons. The record is from RefSeq and is a predicted model, not a curated record. Lineage: Eukaryota; Metazoa; Chordata; Mammalia; Primates; Hominidae.
AGACCACUUCUUGACUAUUCAGAGAUCACAUAGCUAAAAUCAACAACCACAGUGAAGCUACUGCUCUGAUCUUGAGUUCUUCUAUUUCAGUUCUGUAGGGCACAACAACACAUUCCUCACCAGCCACCCCCAGAUUUAUUUUUUUUUUUUAAUUUCUUCUAAAAAAAGGCAGGGGAUACAUGUGCAGAAUGUGCUUUUUUUUGAGACAGGUCUCACUCUGUCACCCUGGCUGGAGUGCAGUGGUGCAAUCGUGGCUCACUGAAACCUCUGCCUUUCAGCUUCAAGCAAUUCUCCUGCCUCAGCCUCCUGAGUAGCUGGGACUAAAGGGACGUGCCACCAUGCCCGGCUAAUUUUUGUAUUUUUUGUAGAGAUGGGGUUUCACCAUGUUGGCCAGGCUGAUCUUGAACUCCUGACCUCAAGUGAUCCACGGGCCUCAGCCUCCCAAAGUGCUGGGAUUACAGGCGUGAGCCACUGCACCUGGCCCACCCCCCCAGAUUUCUUCUGUCAUUGUCAAUUUGCCAAGGGAGUUUCUCUAUAAGGCCACGAUGCAGGUUGGAGACAAGAGCUUCUUACUGCCUUUCAACUGGUCGAAGGCACAGACUUCUGCCAGGCCUGCAGACAGAGCUCAGGAUAAAGAGCCAAGGGUGUGGCCUGUCUCGAGGCCCAUAGAUGUGCGCUCUGCAGGUGGAAUGGCCGUCCGGUGCUUACUUUGACUGUCCUCGGGUCCCGAGUCUUCUGGUGGUUAACUGAGGAAACUGCUGCCUUAUGAUCUAGCAGACGAUGAUAAUUGCUGUUGCCCAGGACAACCACACCAAUUCACAAGAAAUCCGUGAAGAGAGAGCAUCUCUCAAGGUGAAAACAUAACCAUGAGGCCCCUUUCCUUGGGGUUUACGGAGAUGAUGUUUGUGGAGAGGCAUGACAGGGCAGGGGUUACGUGCAAGAACUCUGGAACUCGACUACCUGAAUUGAAUGCAAGCUCAGGCAUUGGUUAGGCUGGAUGCCCUUGGGCAAGUUAUUUAGUAUCCACAUGACUCAGUUUCCCCAUUUGUAAAAUAGGAAUGAUAAUAACCUCUAGAGUUAUUGUGAAAUUUCAAAAAGUGAAUGUAUGUAAAUAGCUGGCAGUAGUGCCUGGCAGUUAGUAAGUACUUAAUAAAUGUUACCCAUUAUUACCA